GGUCAUUUAAAGAACGAGGGUCAGCACGACGUAAAAAAAAAUAAAAAAAAGGGAAAAAAACGGAAAAAAAAAAUCGGAGGAGCCUACCGGAGAUGAGGCCAUUAUGGCUCGCCUUCAGGAGUCCUCCUCGGGAUAGGGUCAUUUAAAGAACGAGGGUCAGCACGACGU
Arachis ipaensis is the source of this 168-nucleotide non-coding RNA. Lineage: Eukaryota; Viridiplantae; Streptophyta; Magnoliopsida; Fabales; Fabaceae. The record is from RefSeq and is a predicted model, not a curated record.